AGAUUGCUUCAGUUAUUAACAUCAACCCCAAUUCAACUGGCUUCACUGGCAACUGCUGAACCCCAGACUGCUCAGCUUAGGCUGAACAGCAGCAUCAUUAAGUAUCUUGACUUUGUCUUUGCUGUGAAAAAUGAAAACCGAUUCUAUCUGAAGGAAGUGAAUGCCAGCAUAUAUUUGGCUAAUGGCUCUGUUUUCAGCAUUGCAAAUAACAACCUCAGCUACUGGGAUGCCCCCCGGGAAGUUCUUAUAUAUGCAACAAAGAGCAGACUCUUUCAGUGUCUGGAACAUUUCAGAUAAAUACCUUCAAUCUAAAGGUUCAGCCUUUCAAUGUGACAGAAGGAAAGUAUUCUACAGGUAAGGCUCAAGUAAACUUUAUUAAUACUUUAUGUUUGUACAUUGACCAAUUGGUGGCUUUUCUUUGAAUCAUGGUAAUUUAGACAUUGAAAUAGAGAAAUAAGAAUUCACCCUUUGACUCUGUAGAGUCCUCACAGCCUUGAGUGAGUUGUGUAACUCUGGCUUAUCAUUUUGCUCACACUAGAUGUUUUUGUGAUCUGAAAACCAACCUCAGGUUUAAGUGAGCUUACUUAAAAGCAUAGGUGCUUCUCCUAGGUUUGGAGGGACAGAUGGCAUUUUGAACAUCUUGGAUCUGCCUUCUUGGGUCCAUCUUCUUGCUAGAAAUAUUUUCAUACCUGAAUGAAAGUGAUUUGGUCUAAUUUUGUUGAGAUACAAGCUAGAAAUCAGGAGCAAAGCUUCAGAUACCGUGAACUAUGUUUUUGCCAGGAGAAAUGAUCUGGAGAUUCCUCAAAGCACAUGCUAGUGCAAAUGGGGCUUUUUGAAGAUCUACUCAGAGCUGCCAUUUGUGGUGGCACAUGUCUGUGAAUCCCAGCACUUGGGAGGCUGAGGCAGGAGGAUCUUCUUGAGUUUGAGGCCAGCCUGGGCUAUAUAGUGGGUUCAAGACAAGCCUGAACCUACAUAGUGAGACCCUGUCUCAAAACAAAAACAAUAAAAAAUAAAAAUAAUAAAAAUCUUAAAAAUGAAGGUCUACUCAUGGCUAUUUAUCAGAUUUUUAAUCAAACCUUUGUGAAUG
This is a long non-coding RNA of Heterocephalus glaber (naked mole-rat), 1087 nucleotides long. The record is from Ensembl. Lineage: Eukaryota; Metazoa; Chordata; Mammalia; Rodentia; Bathyergidae.